This is a long non-coding RNA of Dama dama (fallow deer), 3573 nucleotides long. RefSeq lists it as uncharacterized. The transcript has 6 exons. NCBI's taxonomy places the organism in Eukaryota, Metazoa, Chordata, Mammalia, Artiodactyla, Cervidae. The record is from RefSeq and is a predicted model, not a curated record.
CGCACUGCCCGCUGGGCGCGCGAGAGCUGCGGCGGAGGGGGCCGCCGCCUGCGGGACGAGCGGGGUCUCUGAGAGGAGACAAGGAGAGACUCACGGAAGGGGAGGAGAAGCUGGACUGACUCACACCGAAAAGUAGCAACGGUGUAGGAAGGAAAAGCAUCACUAUGAACAAAGCUAGUGGAGGUGAUGGAAUUCCAGUUGAGCUAUUUCAAAUCCUGAAAGAUGAUGCUGUGAAAGUGCUGCCCUCAAUAUGCCAGCAAAUUUGGAAAACUCAGCAGUGGCCACAGGACUAGAAAAGGAGUUGGCGUACAUACUGGAAGUGUCCCUUAUCUAAUUUCACCAAGUACAAGGUUCUGAGGUUUUGGGUUCUUAGAGUUCUGUGGAGAGACAGUCUGUUUUCCUCAUAAGUAAGCCUCACAUUCUGUGUCUCCUACUUCCCUGAAUCUACUUAUGAUGUUCCUGCCAUCUCUGCUGGAUGAUAACAACUGCAAGCCCAAUGCUCGCUGUUAAGCAAGGAGGCCAAAAGGCUGGGAGAACCAUAGCUGCCCUUUUCAGAGCGACAGCAUCUUCUGGGUAGCUAAUGCUUGGACUUCUAAGUAAAGAUCCCUUCAUGGAAACCACACAUAUAGUGAUGCUUUCUAAGGCCCACUUGACUUCACAUUCCAGGAUGUCUGGCUCUAGCUAUUUUCUGCUAGGAGGCGACAGAGGAUGAGAUGGUUGGAUGGCUGCCAACUCAAUGGAAAGGAGUUUGAGCAAACUUCGGGAGAUAGUGAAGGACAAGGAAGCCUGGCGUGUUGCAGUCCAUAGGGUCGCAAAGAGUCGGACACAACUGAACAACUUUCUGCUCAUUAUACUGACCAGCUAAAACUAAGAUUAAAUAAUAGUAAGGAACAAUACUUGACUUUAAUUCUGAUUGAAACAAAUCAGUUGAAUAAUUGGUCAUGCAAGCAAAAGUAUCAAAGGCACUGCCUUUUUCUUAAAGGAUCAAGGAAAGUUCCAAUUCUUUGUAAAUGGCUGAUAAACACCUUUCACCACCAGGUGGCAUACUCAAUUGUUCAGAAAUCCUCCAAUGAGUGAGUAACCCAAAGAAGGAUCCAUUACGAGGUUAAACAUCAGUGGAAAAAAUGGAAUGAUGAAAAGACACAACUGAAGAAGCUGUUACAUUUCUAACGUUUUCUGUCCCCAGUUGAAGUGCAGAGUAUGGGUUUUAUGUAGAAUUUGCAGGAAAUAGCUUGUUGAGAGUUGGCAGUCAAAAAUUUUGAUUUUAUUGGAACACUAUCUCUUACUGUUUGAAGACAUCUUCUUCAAAACUUGUCCAAAUACCAAACUUUUGCGGCAAUUUUUUGUUGUUGUUGUUGCUAUAUGCCAUUUUUUUUGCAGAAAUGCAAACUACCCCUAAAUCUGAUGAUGGAUUAAAAACAAACAAACAAACAAAAAAAGCAGGAGGGGGAAAGGUCUAUUCAGAUAGAAGUUUUAACCCACUUAUCCCUUAAGCCUGAGACUGUUUUGGCAAGGGCAAAGCCAGGCAAGCUACAUAUUUUCUGCAUAUCUCUCUGACAGACGAUCUGAAGUUAGGAUACAAAAACACGGGAACUCAAAUUGAUUUUUCUGGCAUAGAGUGCAUAUGUCACUAUGCUUUUUCACAAACAUUACUGCACCUUGCUUUCUUAGAACUUGGAUAUGACAUAAUUGCAGACUUUGUCACUUUUCAGCAGCACAUUUUUUAAGGUAUCUAAUGCAGAUGUGAACACAACCUUGGAAUACAAAAUUUCAGAUUCUGUUCUGUAGAAGGAUUGCUGUGGGAAAGUGGAUUCAGGUGUGUAGUGCUUGGCUCUAUUUUGACUUUUAGAAGUUGUCCUCAUAUUUACUUUGCAAUUCAGUACAAAGGUAGAUGCUCUCAGUUCAAAAGGUUAUACAUGAAACUGUUGGAUUCUCUAAUUACAUUUGUCAAGUUUCUAACAUAUGCAUAUUUUUAGUACAUUGAUUUUAUGUUUAUUUUCUUAAACUGAUGUCUAUGGUAAUGAUACUAAUAAUAGCUACUUUUUGCUGAGGUAGUAUAGUAAAGGUUAAAGUCAAUGGCCCUGGGCAAUAGUGGGGGGGUUCUUCCUAGACUCUGACCCCAGCUCUGCCUCUUAUUAGGUGUGUAACUUUGGCAAAGCAUUUAACCUGGCCUGCCAGGCAUCUCUGGUCAUUGGAUUCUUUAGGCAAGAGUACUGGAGUGGGUUGCCAUGCCCUCCCCCAAGGGGUGGAUUGAAUUCAGGUCUCCUGUACUCCAAGCAGAUUCUUUACCUCUGAGCCACUAGGUAAGCCCCUCUGAACCCUAAGAGAAGACAAAUGUCAAGUCUCUAGGCAGUAAAUAGUUGGUACCUACUCUUCUAAGGGUAGAAUUUGAAAAUCAGAAGUUAAUACUUCAAUUAACUCAUCUCUGAAUGACAGAUAAUAACAGUACUAACUUUUAUAGCAUUUGUGAGGAUUACAUGAUGUAAAGUAUAUGACAUACUGAGUUGAGUGACCUGCACAUAGUCAAUAAUUGAGAAUCAUUGUUUUAUUGUAAUUACUAUUCUUUUUCAGGCACCACAUAUACUAUUUCAUCAAUAAAAUUUUUAUCUUCAUUUUUUUAAGUAGAAACUUAGGCCCAAACAGGCUAAAAGGAAUUUGAGCGAGCAAUAAAACCCCAGUCUGGCUCCAAAGCCCCAGACCCUUUAUUGACAAUCUAUUUGCCUCUAACCAGUAGACAUUCUAAUAUCAAAAGAGCUGACAGUGAGCAACCAAGGAACAAGUUUUAUUUCAAUUUAAUUGUUCAGAGAAGGGAAAUUUCUCAUAUCACUUUGCUGAUACUCUACUACAUAGUUACUGAAAAAUACAUUGUUUAAGUUUUGAGGCCUUUUAAAAAACAUCAUGAUGAUAUCUUCUAUCAUUCAGACAAUGACUUAUAGAGAUUCCAUGAUCGAAUAAAAAAAGACAAUAUCAUAUUGUUUAAAUAUUCCAAAGUCUCUGUCAGAUUUAUAGACUUCAUACUUUGUGGUGCAGUUUAAGAAAACAAGAAAGCUGAUAUGAAGUAUUUUGUACAAAAAUGUUACAUGAAAUUAUUAUUUUUACCUCUAAUGCUUAAUUUUUACUGCUAGUGUUUACAAAAUGCACCUGGCUAAAUAUAAAUGAGCCAAUCAGUUGGUGUUCCAGAUGUCUUGGGAAAUAUCCAGAUGUUUUGAUCUUAAAAAAGGAUAUUUUCAAAAUAAACAUUUUAUUUUCCCACUUUUCAGCUGCAUGUGCUAGCCUAGCUAUUACACAGACUUAACUAUAAUUUGCUUUUUAGUAUAAAAUAACCUGAAUCUUUUCACGGAGAAAAUCUGAUUUUAAGAAUAUAAACUUAAAGUCACUUUGGAAACAUUUUUGAAAAUUUGAAAAGUAAAAGGACUGUCUGUACCAGGGAUUGGCAAACUUUUUCUAUCAAAGGCCAGAUAGUAAAUAUUUUAGGCUUUUCCUGCCUAAAGUCCCUCCUGAAAAUACUUAACACUGCCUUUGUAGAGUUGGUAUGCAUGGUUGGAUUCCAAUAAAGCUUUAUUUGCCAAAGCA